This 449-nucleotide ribosomal RNA is filed under the name uncultured bacterium. RNAcentral's name for it is "bacterial SSU rRNA". It matches the Rfam family "Bacterial small subunit ribosomal RNA", at positions 29 to 524 of the family's 1533-position model. The record is from RNAcentral.
AAUGAACGCUGGCGGCAUGCCUAACACAUGCAAGUCGAACGAAGCCUUCGGGCUUAGUGGCGCACGGGUGCGUAACGCGUGGGAAUCUGCCCUUGGGUUCGGAAUAACAGUUAGAAAUGACUGCUAAUACCGAAUGAUGACGUAAGUCCAAAGAUUUAUCGCCCAGGGAUGAGCCCGCGUAGGAUUAGCUAGUUGGUGUGGUAAAGGCGCACCAAGGCGACGANCCUUAGCUGGUCUGAGAGGAUGAUCAGCCACACUGGGACUGAGACACGGCCCAGACUCCUACGGGAGGCAGCAGUGGGGAAUAUUGGACAAUGGGCGAAAGCCUGAUCCAGCAAUGCCGCGUGAGUGAUGAAGGCCUUAGGGUUGUAAAGCUCUUUACCCGGGAUGAUAAUGACAGUACCGGGAGAAUAAGCUCCGGCUAACUCCGUGCCAGCCGCCGCCGUAAC